RNAcentral lists this long non-coding RNA (2030 nucleotides) under Pan troglodytes (chimpanzee). Its description in RNAcentral is "lincRNA". Lineage: Eukaryota; Metazoa; Chordata; Mammalia; Primates; Hominidae. The record is from RNAcentral.
GUAGAUGGCUCUUACUAUGUUGUUCAGGCUGGUCUCUUACUCCUGGCCUCAAGUGAUCCUCCUGCCUCAGCCUCCCAGUGUUGGGACUACAAGCACCAGCCACUGCCCCCAACCCUGCAUUAUGUUCUUAAAGGCAGACCUGAAUCCUGUGCGGUGUCAAUUCAGGUGUGCACUGGCCCCUGAGCCUUACAUACAGGACCCGUUCCUUAGGAUGUUGCGUUCCCUUGCUUAGAGCCUCAGCACCAUGGCACCUGGCUCUCCCCCGAUGCCUGGGUCUUGCUCUUGCCCAUUUCCUAGCCAGGGUUUGUGGUCCAGGCAACCUGUCACAUCAGUGUGUUCCAAACAUGGCACCCAAAUCUCAAAAGCUGCUUCAACGCUCCCAUGGUUUGGGAUACACCUCAAGUUUUAACUUACGUACUUCAAGUUUCUUUUAUUCAAUUAGAUACAACCGUCUGACUUUUGGCUUCUGAAACAGGAAAGUCAAUUUUGUUGUUUUCACUGUACCAUGCUUUUUUAUCUCAGAAUCUUGAUGAACUCUGAAAUGACCCCUGAUGGGGGCAUGCCUCUAUUUAUGCUGAAUAAGAGCCAUUUUACAUUUUACUACAGGUUGAGUGCCCCUAAUCCAAAAAUUUGAAAUGCUCCAAAAUCUGAAACUUUUUGAGCACUUACAUGGUAAUGAAAGGAAAUGCUCAUUGGAACAUUUCCGAUUAGGCAUGCUCAGCCGUUAAGCAUAAUGCAAAUAUUAAAAAAAAAAAUUUCCUAAAUCUUUUAAUACUUCUGGUUCCAAGCAUUUCAGAUAAGGGAUACUCAAGCUCUACCUAUUCCCAAAUUCCCACUAACUAGCUCUUUAGCAGGUCUAUGGAAUAAAAAUUGAUGCUUCUGAUUACUUUAAGGCAUUAUAACCUCAUGAAGUGGUUUCUGAGAUGCAACUGAGUUUUUGUGCUAUUUUAUUGUAUUCUUAUAUCUUUGAAGAUGAAUAAUCCACGUAGUGCAUUUGAGAGGUUCUACCUGUUCAAGAGAGGAAAUUUAAUAUCCGUGACUACUGUAUGUCAAAUGAUUUAGUGCCUUAUUUAAUUUGUUCCUCUAGGAGUCCUGUGCACUUAUCUUGGGGGAAACAUUGUUCCAUUCUUAGUAACAUGCCUGUUUGGCCUGUGGUCUGAGGUACUUACAACUGCUGCAGUGUGGUAAAUGUGUCCCUUUUGAAACACUGUUCUGGGGACUUCAGAGAUGACUGACUGCAACCUACCACCUCAUAAAUGAGGGAUCUGAGGUACAAACUGGAACCCGGGUCUUCUGGGCUCAGAGAACUCUCCUCACUACAGCAGACUGCCUGUUUCCAUUUAGGGGAAUGAGAUGCUCUUUCAUAAAUGAUACCAAGUCCAAGAGAACCCCUUAAGGCAGCUCCAAUCGAAGACUGUCUUGGCUGCUUCUGGAAACUACAGAUCACUACUCCCGAAGUCAAAAACGACUAGAACACAGCUUAAAAAUCAAGCCAUUUAAUUGUAUCUUUGAAGGUAAACAAUAUAUGGAGCUGGAUCACAACCCCUGAGGAUGCCAGAGCUAUGGGUCCAAAACAUGGUGUGGUAUUAUCAACAGAGUUCAGAAGGGUCUGAACUCUACGUGUUACCAGAGAACAUAAUGCAAUUCAUGCAUUCCACUUAGCAAUUUUGUAAAAUACCAGAAACAGACCCCAAGAGUCUUUCAAGAUGAGGAAAAUUCAACUCCUGGUUUUAGAGAUAAACGAAUGAAGAGUACCAAAACGUUUGUUGACUUCUCUUCAUUUUUCUCACACAAUCUGAAGCCUGAGCUGACUAUCAUAUCCCCAACUCACAGCAGCGAAAGCUGCAGUUCAGGUUUGAGAUCAGUCUCCAUUCACUUCCACGUAGCACCACAGCAAGAGUGACCGGAGACAGAGAGCUCUUGUUGGGUCAGCUUUCUAAUAAACACGUCAAGUGAAAAAGAACCCUCUAGCAGCACACUGAUUUAGUUUGUAAGAUUUUAAUUUACAAAUUUAAAAAGCUAUUUAAUAC